This 467-nucleotide ribosomal RNA is filed under the name uncultured bacterium. Its description in RNAcentral is "partial 16S ribosomal RNA". It matches the Rfam family "Bacterial small subunit ribosomal RNA", at positions 28 to 507 of the family's 1533-position model. The record is from RNAcentral.
GAUGAACGCUGGCGGCGUGCUUAACACAUGCAAGUCGAACGGAAAGGCCUCUGCUUGCAGGGGUACUCGAGUGGCGAACGGGUGAGUAACACGUGGGUGAUCUGCCCUGCACUUCGGGAUAAGCCUGGGAAACUGGGUCUAAUACCGGAUAGGACAAUGGUUUGGAUGCUGUUGUGGAAAGUUUUUCGGUGUGGGAUGAGCUCGCGGCCUAUCAGCUUGUUGGUGGGGUAAUGGCCUACCAAGGCGUCGACGGGUAGCCGGCCUGAGAGGGUGUACGGCCACAUGGGGACUGAGAGACGGCCCAGACUCCUACGGGAGGCAGCAGGGGGGAAUAUUGCACAAUGGGCGCAAGCCUGAUGCAGCGACGCCGCGUGGGGGAUGACGGCCUUCGGGUUGUAAACUCCUUUCGCUAGGGACGAAGCGUUUUUGUGACGGUACCUGGAGAAGAAGCACCGGCUAACUACGUG